UACGGGGGGGGCAAGCGUUGUUCGGAAUUACUGGGCGUAAAGGGCGCGUAGGCGGUCGAUCAAGUCAGGGGUGAAAUCCUGCAGCUUAACUGUAGAAGUGCCUUUGAUACUGGUCGUCUCGAGGGAGGUAGGGGUGUGUGGAACUUCCAGUGGAGCGGUGAAAUGCGUUGAUAUUGGAAGGAACGCCGGAGGCGAAAGCGACGCACUGGACCUCUUCUGACGCUGAGGCGCGAAAGCUAGGGGAGCAAACGGG
Molecule: ribosomal RNA, 253 nt
Filed under: uncultured bacterium
Lineage: Bacteria
Description: partial 16S ribosomal RNA
Rfam family: Bacterial small subunit ribosomal RNA
Source: RNAcentral